UGAGGAGAAUGUUAUGAGACCGGAUGAGCUGUAUUUCAUGUCUGUUUGGUGUCAUUUCAUAUAUUCCAGUAAAUGCGAUGAGUGAGCUCAGCCUACGUCUCCGUGUUGUCCUUUCCGGAAGGGUCGAAAGAAAGAACCAGAAAAGUGGGGUUACACAAGCAUUGCCACAAACUGCUGCUGAUAGAAUGAGAUUUAUGCAUGUUGAUGCUCAAUGCUGCUGUUUGAAACUGUCAUGUGCUUCAGGACUGAACAGACA
Long non-coding RNA from Sinocyclocheilus anshuiensis, 256 nucleotides. RefSeq lists it as uncharacterized. The transcript is spliced from 3 exons. The record is from RefSeq and is a predicted model, not a curated record. NCBI's taxonomy places the organism in Eukaryota, Metazoa, Chordata, Actinopteri, Cypriniformes, Cyprinidae.